Molecule: ribosomal RNA, 1639 nt
Filed under: Escherichia coli
Lineage: Bacteria; Pseudomonadati; Pseudomonadota; Gammaproteobacteria; Enterobacterales; Enterobacteriaceae
Description: partial 23S ribosomal RNA
Rfam family: Bacterial large subunit ribosomal RNA
Source: RNAcentral
AUAAUGGGUCAGCGACUUAUAUUCUGUAGCAAGGUUAACCGAAUAGGGGAGCCGAAGGGAAACCGAGUCUUAACUGGGCGUUAAGUUGCAGGGUAUAGACCCGAAACCCGGUGAUCUAGCCAUGGGCAGGUUGAAGGUUGGGUAACACUAACUGGAGGACCGAACCGACUAAUGUUGAAAAAUUAGCGGAUGACUUGUGGCUGGGGGUGAAAGGCCAAUCAAACCGGGAGAUAGCUGGUUCUCCCCGAAAGCUAUUUAGGUAGCGCCUCGUGAAUUCAUCUCCGGGGGUAGAGCACUGUUUCGGCAAGGGGGUCAUCCCGACUUACCAACCCGAUGCAAACUGCGAAUACCGGAGAAUGUUAUCACGGGAGACACACGGCGGGUGCUAACGUCCGUCGUGAAGAGGGAAACAACCCAGACCGCCAGCUAAGGUCCCAAAGUCAUGGUUAAGUGGGAAACGAUGUGGGAAGGCCCAGACAGCCAGGAUGUUGGCUUAGAAGCAGCCAUCAUUUAAAGAAAGCGUAAUAGCUCACUGGUCGAGUCGGCCUGCGCGGAAGAUGUAACGGGGCUAAACCAUGCACCGAAGCUGCGGCAGCGACGCUUAUGCGUUGUUGGGUAGGGGAGCGUUCUGUAAGCCUGCGAAGGUGUGCUGUGAGGCAUGCUGGAGGUAUCAGAAGUGCGAAUGCUGACAUAAGUAACGAUAAAGCGGGUGAAAAGCCCGCUCGCCGGAAGACCAAGGGUUCCUGUCCAACGUUAAUCGGGGCAGGGUGAGUCGACCCCUAAGGCGAGGCCGAAAGGCGUAGUCGAUGGGAAACAGGUUAAUAUUCCUGUACUUGGUGUUACUGCGAAGGGGGGACGGAGAAGGCUAUGUUGGCCGGGCGACGGUUGUCCCGGUUUAAGCGUGUAGGCUGGUUUUCCAGGCAAAUCCGGAAAAUCAAGGCUGAGGCGUGAUGACGAGGCACUACGGUGCUGAAGCAACAAAUGCCCUGCUUCCAGGAAAAGCCUCUAAGCAUCAGGUAACAUCAAAUCGUACCCCAAACCGACACAGGUGGUCAGGUAGAGAAUACCAAGGCGCUUGAGAGAACUCGGGUGAAGGAACUAGGCAAAAUGGUGCCGUAACUUCGGGAGAAGGCACGCUGAUAUGUAGGUGAAGCGACUUGCUCGUGGAGCUGAAAUCAGUCGAAGAUACCAGCUGGCUGCAACUGUUUAUUAAAAACACAGCACUGUGCAAACACGAAAGUGGACGUAUACGGUGUGACGCCUGCCCGGUGCCGGAAGGUUAAUUGAUGGGGUUAGCGCAAGCGAAGCUCUUGAUCGAAGCCCCGGUAAACGGCGGCCGUAACUAUAACGGUCCUAAGGUAGCGAAAUUCCUUGUCGGGUAAGUUCCGACCUGCACGAAUGGCGUAAUGAUGGCCAGGCUGUCUCCACCCGAGACUCAGUGAAAUUGAACUCGCUGUGAAGAUGCAGUGUACCCGCGGCAAGACGGAAAGACCCCGUGAACCUUUACUAUAGCUUGACACUGAACAUUGAGCCUUGAUGUGUAGGAUAGGUGGGAGGCUUUGAAGUGUGGACGCCAGUCUGCAUGGAGCCGACCUUGAAAUACCACCCUUUAAUGUUUGAUGUUCUAACGUUGACCCGU